AGACCUCAGUAUCCCCACCAGGGGUUGCAGUAGUCUACAUUAAUACAUGUCUGGAGAGGAGGUUCUGGUUCAGUUUCCUCUGAAGAGAAUCUGGUUUGUAUGUACCAGGGACAUUCUAUAGACUGGACCAGUGCAUGGUAGUUUGGAUUCAUGAACUGUAUGAUCAUCAAACUUCUCCAGUGAUCUCCUACCUUUACCGAUAUGCUCUGUCUCAUUUUGCCCUGCAAUAGAGAGGCUGUGACAGACAUCUCACUCAGAACAGCGUCAAAGAGCCCCGAAAGGCUUUAUUCCCUGGCUUCUUGCUCUGACAGUUGAUUCCAGGAACUGCAGGGAUCCCUGUGAAUUCGUAGAUGAGAUUUGUUAUGCCAUGAAGUGUGAGUGUUUUGAAGCAAAACUGGUGAGUGGGCAGAUUUUGUCAAUAGUGCUGUGCUGAGAGUAGAAGAAGACCAUGUUCCAGAAUCUUGUCUGCAGAUUGAAAAUGGACAUAAAAACAA
This 494-nucleotide long non-coding RNA is filed under the name Anas platyrhynchos platyrhynchos (common mallard). RNAcentral describes it as "lncRNA (ENSAPLG00000024797.1)". Lineage: Eukaryota; Metazoa; Chordata; Aves; Anseriformes; Anatidae. The record is from RNAcentral.